Molecule: ribosomal RNA, 645 nt
Filed under: Eleutherodactylus eileenae
Lineage: Eukaryota; Metazoa; Chordata; Amphibia; Anura; Eleutherodactylidae
Description: partial 16S ribosomal RNA
Rfam family: Bacterial large subunit ribosomal RNA
Source: RNAcentral
CAUGGUUUAGCUAGUCUAAUUCAAGCAAAAAGAAAUUUAGUUUGACUUCCCGAAACCAAGUGAGCUACUUUAGGACAGCUUAAUGGGCGAACCCGUCUCUGUUGCAAAAGAGUGGGAAGAUCUUAAAGUAGAGAUGACAUAUCUAACGAACUUGGCGAUAGCUGGUUAUUUAGGAACGGAAUCUUAGUUCAGCCUAAAGCUCCCUUAAUAACUUAAAAUAAAAGACUAACUUUAGAGUUAUUCAAAUAAGUCACAGCUUAUUUGAAACAGGAUACAACCUCAACCCGUGGGUAAUAGCACCAAACCCCAAUUAAGUGGGCCUAAAAGCAGCCAUCUUUAAAAUAGCGUUAUAGCUUAAUUUAACUUAUUUUACAAUUCCCCAAGCCCUUCAGAACCCCUCAAUAGUACUAAAUAAUCCUAUACUUCUAUAGGACUCUUUAUGCUAAAACUAGUAACAAGAAGAACCUUCUCCUAUAUGCAAAUCUAAAUCAGACCAGAAGAUCUACUGAUCAUUAACAACUUUAAACCCCAGUACUAAAUUGAUUAAAAAAAUUUACUAUUUUAGCUGUUAACCUUACACAAGAGCAUAAAAAGAAAGAUUAUAAGAAAAAGAAGGAACUCGGCAAAAUAUGAUUCCGCCUGUUU